This 275-nucleotide unclassified non-coding RNA is filed under the name Hevea brasiliensis (rubber tree). The record is from RNAcentral. Lineage: Eukaryota; Viridiplantae; Streptophyta; Magnoliopsida; Malpighiales; Euphorbiaceae.
ACAUUUCAACACCUUAAGAAAUUGGCGCAUUAAUGAAACACAUGCUGAUUAUAGUACCUAAUAUCUACUAAAGUUUUAUAUAGAAUUAAAUCCACCUGGAAAGGAAUAUAUGUGAAGUGCAGAUUUGGAUUGUCAUUUCAUUUGGGUUUGGCCCUUGAUCCCAAUUUGUUUAAUGCGGCAAUUGUACACUCUCAUUCCUUAUGGCUUCUAUGUGCCUAUAUAAGUAAUAACAGUGGCAGUUCUCUGCAUAAAUUACCGAUGAGAAGUGAUUGUUU